AUCUACGGCCAUGCCACCCUGAACAAGCCCGAUCCCGUCCAAUCUCGGAAGCUAAGCAAGGUCAGGUCUGGUUAGUACUUGGAUGGAAGACCACCUAGGAAGACUAGGUGCUGGAAGGC
This 119-nucleotide ribosomal RNA is filed under the name Pteropus alecto (black flying fox). RNAcentral also lists the same sequence under 1 other name. Lineage: Eukaryota; Metazoa; Chordata; Mammalia; Chiroptera; Pteropodidae. The record is from RNAcentral.